CGGGAGGCAGCAGUAGGGAAUCUUUCACAAUGGGCGAAAGCCUGAUGGAGCAACGCCGCGUGCAGGAUGAAGGCCUUCGGGUUGUAAACUGCUUUUAUAAGCGAGAAAUAUGAUGGUAACUUAUGAAUAAGGAUCGGCUAACUACGUGCCAGCAGCCGCGGUAAU
This 165-nucleotide ribosomal RNA is filed under the name uncultured rumen bacterium. RNAcentral's name for it is "partial 16S ribosomal RNA". It matches the Rfam family "Bacterial small subunit ribosomal RNA", at positions 342 to 524 of the family's 1533-position model. The record is from RNAcentral.